AGUCGAGCGGCAGCGCGGGGGCAACCCUGGCGGCGAGCGGCGAACGGGUGAGUAACAUAUCGGAACGUACCCUGUCGUGGGGGAUAACACAGCGAAAGCUGUGCUAAUACCGCAUACGACCUGAGGGUGAAAGCGGGGGACCGUAAGGCCUCGCGCGAUAGGAGCGGCCGAUAUCGGAUUAGCUUGUUGGUGAGGUAAAGGCUCACCAAGGCGACGAUCCGUAGCGGGUCUGAGAGGACGACCCGCCACACUGGAACUGAGACACGGUCCAGACUCCUACGGGAGGCAGCAGUGGGGAAUUUUGGACAAUGGGGGCAACCCUGAUCCAGCCAUUCCGCGUGAGUGAAGAAGGCCUUCGGGUUGUAAAGCUCUUUCAGCAGGAACGAAACGGUGGUCCUUAAUACGGGCUACUAAUGACGGUACCUGAAGAAGAAGCACCGGCUAACUACGUGCCAGCAGCCGCGGUAAUACGUAGGGUGCGAGCGUUAAUCGGAAUUACUGGGCGUAAAGCGUGCGCAGGCGGUUAUAUAAGACAGAUGUGAAAUCCCCGGGCUCAACCUGGGAACUGCGUUUGUGACUGUAUAACUUGAGUGUGGCAGAGGGGGGUGGAAUUCCACGUGUAGCAGUGAAAUGCGUAGAGAUGUGGAGGAACACCGAUGGCGAAGGCAGCCCCCUGGGUCAACACUGACGCUCAUGCACGAAAGCGUGGGGAGCAAACAGGAUUAGAUACCCUGGUAGUCCACGCCCUAAACGAUGCGAACUAGUGUUGGGGAAGGAGACUUUCUUAGUACCGCAGCUAACGCGUGAAGUUCGCCGCCUGGGGAGUACGG
Molecule: ribosomal RNA, 830 nt
Filed under: uncultured organism
Description: bacterial SSU rRNA
Rfam family: Bacterial small subunit ribosomal RNA
Source: RNAcentral